CUCAUAUGACUAGCUACUGAAUCAAUCCAAAACAUAUUAAAAAAUAUUUGGUUGAUAAUGUAAGAGUAAAAUAAUGAUAUCAUCUUACGCUUAGUGCCGUCUAAAGCUGGUGCCAGAAGACUCGGUAAGGCCAGAGGCGCGAACGUUAGUCAUCUUUAUCAGGCGUAAAGGGUUUGUAGGCUGCUUUAAAAUUUUUAUAAAUUAAUUAUUUAAUGAUAAUAUAAAUAAAAUUGAAUUAAAGCUAGAAUCUAAUAGAGGUUAAUUGAAUAAUGCUUAGUUUAGGGCUAAUAUCCACAUAGAUUAAGUAGAAUAUUAAAGGCGAAGGCUUCUCUCCAAGUAAAGAUUGACGCUGAGACACGAAGGUGAGGAAAGGAAAUAGGAUUAGAUACCCAAAUUACCCCUCACUGUCAACGAUGAAUGGUAGUCAUUAGUGUUUAUUAGUGGCGUAGUUAAGGCAAUUACCAUUCCGCCUUGUUAGUAAGACUGCAAAGUUAAAACCAAAAAAAUUAGUCGGUUUCGAAGCAAACGAAGUGAAGCAUGUUAUUUAAUGA
RNAcentral lists this ribosomal RNA (551 nucleotides) under Albatrellus avellaneus. Its description in RNAcentral is "partial small subunit ribosomal RNA". It matches the Rfam family "Bacterial small subunit ribosomal RNA", at positions 383 to 952 of the family's 1533-position model. The record is from RNAcentral. Lineage: Eukaryota; Fungi; Basidiomycota; Agaricomycetes; Russulales; Albatrellaceae.